Molecule: long non-coding RNA, 501 nt
Filed under: Triticum aestivum (bread wheat)
Lineage: Eukaryota; Viridiplantae; Streptophyta; Magnoliopsida; Poales; Poaceae
Description: long non-coding RNA (TAES_LNC008985)
Source: RNAcentral
UGCUGGAAGAAGAUGGCGGAGGAGGCGCUGGUGGCCAGCGGCGUGCCGUACACGAUCGUGCGGCCGGGGGGCAUGGAGAGGCCGACGGACGCGUACAAGGAGACGCACAACCUGGUGGUGUCGCCGCGGGACACGUACGUCGGCGGCCUGGUGUCCAACCUGCAGGUCGCGGAGCUGAUCGCGUGCGUGGCCAAGAACAGGAGGGCGGCCUACUGCAAGGUGGUGGAGCUCGUGGCCGAGACCACCGCGCCGCUGCUGCCCACGGAGGACCUCCUCGCCAGAGUCCCCUCCGACCCCGGCAGGGCACCGCCCCCGGCGAAGGAGUCGCCUCCCGCAGCAGCGGCGGCACCAGCACCAGUUGCAGCACCUCCAGCACCGGCACCGGCACCGGCACCAGCAGCACCUCCAACACCGGCACCGGCACCAGCACCAGCUGCAGCCCCUCCAGCACCGGCGCCGGCACCUGCACCAGCUGCAGCAGCAAAAACAGAGCGGCCGCUC